This 229-nucleotide ribosomal RNA is filed under the name uncultured bacterium. Its description in RNAcentral is "partial 16S ribosomal RNA". It matches the Rfam family "Bacterial small subunit ribosomal RNA", at positions 568 to 796 of the family's 1533-position model. The record is from RNAcentral.
CGCGUAGGCGGUUCGAUAAGUCAGAUGUGAAAGCCCAGGGCUUAACCUUGGAAUUGCAUUUGAUACUGUCGAGCUUGAGUGUGGUAGAGGAAAGCGGAAUUCCGGGUGUAGCGGUGAAAUGCGUAGAUAUCCGGAGGAACAUCAGUGGCGAAGGCGGCUUUCUGGACCAACACUGACGCUGAGGCGCGAAAGCGUGGGGAGCAAACAGGAUUAGAUACCCUGGUAGUCC